GACGAACGCUGGCGGCAUGCCUAACACAUGCAAGUCGAACGAUACCUUCGGGUCUAGUUUCGCAGGGGGGCGUAACGCCGGGGAACCUGCACUUAGGUUCGGAGUAACUCCCCGUAAGGUAUGCUAAUGCCGGAGAAUGUCUUCCUAGCAAUGAUUUAUCGCCUUUGGGUGGGCCGGCGUUGGAUUAGCUAGUUGGUAGGGUAAAAGCCUAGCAAGGCGACGAUCCAUAGCUGGUCUGAGAGGAUGAUCAGCCACACUGGGACUGAGACACGGCCCAGACUCCUACGGGAGGCAGCAGUGGGGAAUAUUGGACAAUGGGCGAAAGCCUGAUCCAGCAAUGCCGCGUGAGUGAUGAAGGCCUUAGGGUUGUAAAGCUCUUUUACCCGUGAUGAUAAUGACAGUACCGGGAGAAUAAGCUCCGGCUAACUCCGUG
This 433-nucleotide ribosomal RNA is filed under the name uncultured bacterium. RNAcentral's name for it is "partial 16S ribosomal RNA". It matches the Rfam family "Bacterial small subunit ribosomal RNA", at positions 28 to 507 of the family's 1533-position model. The record is from RNAcentral.